AUACGUAGGGGGCGAGCGUUGUCCGGAAUGAUUGGGCGUAAAGGGCGCGUAGGCGGCCAGGUAAGUCUGGAGUGAAAGUCCUGUUCUUAAGCUGGGAAUUGCUUUGGAUACUGUUGGGCUUGAGUGUGGGAGAGGUAAGUGGAAUUCCCAGUGUAGAGGUGAAAUGCGUGGAGAUUCGGAGGAACACCAGUGGCGAAGGCGCGGUAGUGGAGUGUAACUUACGCUGUGGCGCGAAAAUGUGGGGAGCGAACAGGGUUUGAGACCCUGGGAGUCCACACGCUAAAAGAGAAAUACGAGGGGUAUGGGGGUUCUUCCCCUUCUGUACCGCAGUCAACACAAUAAGCAUUCCGCCUGGGGAGUACGGCCGCAAGAUUAAAACUUAAAGGAAUUGGCGGGG
This 397-nucleotide ribosomal RNA is filed under the name uncultured bacterium. RNAcentral's name for it is "partial 16S ribosomal RNA". It matches the Rfam family "Bacterial small subunit ribosomal RNA", at positions 523 to 918 of the family's 1533-position model. The record is from RNAcentral.